GCCAGCAUGGUGUAGUGGUUGAACAUUGGACUACAGCUCUGGAGACCAGGGUUUGAGUCCCUGUUCAACCA
Molecule: transfer RNA, 71 nt
Filed under: Phrynosoma platyrhinos (Desert horned lizard)
Lineage: Eukaryota; Metazoa; Chordata; Lepidosauria; Squamata; Phrynosomatidae
Description: tRNA-OTHER
Source: RNAcentral